GCCCCGCAUCAAGAGACAGGACUUCGGUCCUCGCCAACCUGCCGACUCGGGUAAGGUGGUCGCCGCUAAGAGCGGGAUGUGGCUGAUUCAGGCAAAAAAACGAGCUAAAAAUCAGCAACUUAGUAGUAACGAGC
RNAcentral lists this non-coding RNA (134 nucleotides) under unclassified sequences. RNAcentral's name for it is "SAM-I-IV sequence". The stretch from base 1 to 109 matches the Rfam family "SAM-I/IV (S-adenosyl methionine) riboswitch aptamer". From Rfam's summary of the family: It is found upstream of a number of genes which code for proteins involved in methionine or cysteine biosynthesis. The record is from Rfam by way of RNAcentral.